AGAGCGAACGCUGGCGGCAGGCCUAACACAUGCAAGUCGAGCGGACUCUUCGGAGUUAGUGGCGGACGGGUGAGUAACACGUGGGAACGUGCCUUUUGGUUCGGAAUAGCUCCUGGAAACGGGUGGUAAUGCCGAAUGUGCCCUUCGGGGAAAGAUUUAUCGCCAUUAGAGCGGCCCGCGUCUGAUUAGCUAGUUGGUGAGGUAAAGGCUCACCAAGGCGACGAUCAGUAGCUGGUCUGAGAGGAUGACCAGCCACAUUGGACUGAGACACGGCCCAAACUCCUACGGGAGGCAGCAGUGGGGAAUCUUGCGCAAAUGGGCGAAAGCCUGACGCAGCCAUGCCGCGUGAAUGAUGAAGGUCUUAGGAUUGUAAAAAUUCUUUCACCGGGGACGAUAAAUGACGGUACCCGGAGAAAGAAGCCCCGGCAAACUUCGUGCCAGCAGCCGCC
RNAcentral lists this ribosomal RNA (449 nucleotides) under uncultured soil bacterium. Its description in RNAcentral is "bacterial SSU rRNA". It matches the Rfam family "Bacterial small subunit ribosomal RNA", at positions 26 to 519 of the family's 1533-position model. The record is from RNAcentral.